Molecule: ribosomal RNA, 427 nt
Filed under: Belisana bohorok
Lineage: Eukaryota; Metazoa; Arthropoda; Arachnida; Araneae; Pholcidae
Description: partial 16S ribosomal RNA
Source: RNAcentral
UUCUUAAAGAAAAAAUUUUAAGUAAAUCCUGCUCAAUGUAAACAUAUCAAUAGCCGCAGUUCUACUGUGCUAAGGUAGCAUAAUAAUUUGCUUUCUAAAUAAAAGAUAGAAUGAAUGGAUUAACAAUAAUAAACUUCUUUAUUAUAAUAAAACCAAACUAAUACUAAAAUUAAAAAGUUUUAAUAAAAAAGUGGGACGACAAGACCCUAAUAAACUAAACUUUUAGUUGGGGCAACUUAAUAACAAAUUCUUAAAAAAAACAACACCACCCUAAAACAUUAUAAAGAAAUAGUUACUAUAGGGAUAACAGCGCAAUUUCUUUUAAAAGCUCUUAUUUAAAAAGAAUUUUACGACCUCGAUGUUGAAUUAAUUAUCCUUCAGGGUGAAAAAACUCAUUUAAGGCAGUCUGUUCGACUAUUAAAAAUUU